Molecule: ribosomal RNA, 486 nt
Filed under: uncultured bacterium
Lineage: Bacteria
Description: partial 16S ribosomal RNA
Rfam family: Bacterial small subunit ribosomal RNA
Source: RNAcentral
AUUGAACGCUGGCGGCAUGCCUUACACAUGCAAGUCGAACGGCAGCACGGGUGCUUGCAUCUGGUGGCGAGUGGCGAACGGGUGAGUAAUACAUCGGAACAUGUCCUGUAGUGGGGGAUAGCCCGGCGAAAGCCGGAUUAAUACCGCAUACGAUCUACGGAUGAAAGCGGGGGACCUUCGGGCCUCGCGCUAUAGGGUUGGCCGAUGGCUGAUUAGCUAGUUGGUGGGGUAAAGGCCUACCAAGGCGACGAUCAGUAGCUGGUCUGAGAGGACGACCAGCCACACUGGGACUGAGACACGGCCCAGACUCCUACGGGAGGCAGCAGUGGGGAAUUUUGGACAAUGGGCGAAAGCCUGAUCCAGCAAUGCCGCGUGUGUGAAGAAGGCCUUCGGGUUGUAAAGCACUUUUGUCCGGAAAGAAAUCCUUGGCCCUAAUACGGUCGGGGGAUGACGGUACCGGAAGAAUAAGCACCGGCUAACUACGUG